GACGAACGCUGGCGGCGUGCUUAACACAUGCAAGUCGAACGGAAAGGCCCUGCUUUUGUGGGGUGCUCGAGUGGCGAACGGGUGAGUAACACGUGAGUAACCUGCCCUUGACUUUGGGAUAACUUCAGGAAACUGGGGCUAAUACCGGAUAGGAGCUCCUGCUGCAUGGUGGGGGUUGGAAAGUUUCGGCGGUUGGGGAUGGACUCGCGGCUUAUCAGCUUGUUGGUGGGGUAGUGGCUUACCAAGGCUUUGACGGGUAGCCGGCCUGAGAGGGUGACCGGCCACAUUGGGACUGAGAGACGGCCCAGACUCCUACGGGAGGCAGCAGUGGGAAAUAUUGCACAAUGGGCGGAAGCCUGAUGCAGCAACGCCGCGUGCGGGAUGACGGCCUUCGGGUUGUAAACCGCUUUCGCCUGUGACGAAGCGUGAGUGACGGUAAUGUGUAAAGAAGCACCGGCUAACUACGUG
Molecule: ribosomal RNA, 468 nt
Filed under: uncultured bacterium
Lineage: Bacteria
Description: partial 16S ribosomal RNA
Rfam family: Bacterial small subunit ribosomal RNA
Source: RNAcentral